Nerophis lumbriciformis (worm pipefish) is the source of this 358-nucleotide long non-coding RNA. RefSeq lists it as uncharacterized. NCBI's taxonomy places the organism in Eukaryota, Metazoa, Chordata, Actinopteri, Syngnathiformes, Syngnathidae. The record is from RefSeq and is a predicted model, not a curated record.
ACACGAAUAGCAAACAUUAUGUCCAGCCUCAUAUAACAACAACUCACACAUUGUUUUGGUAAUUAAUCAAAUGAUGUCGUACAGUGUCCACGUCCUGAUGUCCUGAGGGUCCAACGACGUCAUGACGUCAUCUCCACUGGAAGAGGAGGAGGAGAUGGAAGAGGAGGAGGAGGAGCACAGUUGCGCAUUGAUCCACUGAUACAAACAUCAGUUGUCUACCAAUCUAAGGUUCUCCAAUCAGAUUCCACGACUACUGUUCCUGCACCCAUUCUUAUCUGGUCCAUCCAGCACUACACAAAUCCAUGAAGUGGAUGUUCUCCCAAGCUGUUGUUGCGUUUCACUGCCCUUUAUUUCUCAA